GAGUUUGAUCCUGGCUCAGGACGAACGCUGGCGGCGUGCCUAACACAUGCAAGUCGAACGGAGUUAGACGCUGAAAUGACGAUAGCUUGCUAUUUGAGUUUCUUGUCUAACUUAGUGGCGGACGGGUGAGUAACGCGUGAGUAACCUGCCCUUGAGAGUGGAAUAACGUUCUGAAAAGAACGCUAAUACCGCAUAACAUAUCACUGUCGCCUGGCAGAGAUAUCAAAGAUUUAUCGCUCAAGGAUGGACUCGCGUCCGAUUAGCCAGUUGGCGGGGUAAAGGCCCACCAAAGCGACGAUCGGUAGCCGGACUGAGAGGUUGAACGGCCACAUUGGGACUGAGACACGGCCCAGACUCCUACGGGAGGCAGCAGUGGGGGAUAUUGCGCAAUGGGGGAAACCCUGACGCAGCAACGCCGCGUGAAGGAAGAAGGUUUUCGGACUGUAAACUUCUUUUAUUAAGGACGAAACAAAUGACGGUACUUAAUGAAUAAGCUCCGGCUAACUACGUGCCAGCAGCCGCGGUAAUACGUAGGGAGCAAGCGUUGUCCGGAUUUACUGGGUGUAAAGGGUGCGUAGGCGGCAAAGCAAGUCAGAUGUGAAAUGUAUGGGCUCAACCCAUGACCUGCAUUUGAAACUGUUUUGCUUGAGUGAAGUAGAGGUAGGCGGAAUUCCCUGUGUAGCGGUGAAAUGCGUAGAGAUAGGGAGGAACACCAGUGGCGAAGGCGGCCUACUGGGCUUUAACUGACGCUGAGGCACGAAAGCGUGGGUAGCAAACAGGAUUAGAUACCCUGGUAGUCCACGCUGUAACGAUGAUUACUAGUGUGGGGGGUCUGACCCCUUCCGUGCCGCAGUUAACACAAUAAGUAAUCCACCUGGGGAGUACGGCCGCAGGUUGAACUC
This 902-nucleotide ribosomal RNA is filed under the name uncultured bacterium. RNAcentral's name for it is "bacterial SSU rRNA". It matches the Rfam family "Bacterial small subunit ribosomal RNA", at positions 9 to 902 of the family's 1533-position model. The record is from RNAcentral.